RNAcentral lists this ribosomal RNA (40 nucleotides) under Rhizoctonia solani. Its description in RNAcentral is "partial 18S ribosomal RNA". Lineage: Eukaryota; Fungi; Basidiomycota; Agaricomycetes; Cantharellales; Ceratobasidiaceae. The record is from RNAcentral.
UUUCCGUAGGUGAACCUGCGGAAGGAUCAUUAUUGAAUUU